RNAcentral lists this ribosomal RNA (468 nucleotides) under uncultured bacterium. Its description in RNAcentral is "partial 16S ribosomal RNA". It matches the Rfam family "Bacterial small subunit ribosomal RNA", at positions 28 to 507 of the family's 1533-position model. The record is from RNAcentral.
GAUGAACGCUGGCGGCGUGCUUAACACAUGCAAGUCGAACGGAAAGGCCGAAGCUUGCUUCGGUACUCGAGUGGCGAACGGGUGAGUAACACGUGGGUGAUCUGCCCUGUACUUCGGGAUAAGCUUGGGAAACUGGGUCUAAUACCGGAUAUGACGAUCUCUUGGAUGGGGUUGUGGAAAGCUUUUGCGGUAUGGGAUGAGCUCGCGGCCUAUCAGCUUGUUGGUGGGGUAAUGGCCUACCAAGGCGUCGACGGGUAGCCGGUCUGAGAGGGUGUACGGCCACAUUGGGACUGAGAUACGGCCCAGACUCCUACGGGAGGCAGCAGUGGGGAAUAUUGCACAAUGGGCGCAAGCCUGAUGCAGCGACGCCGCGUGGGGGAUGACGGCCUUCGGGUUGUAAACUCCUUUCGCAAUCGACGAAGCCUUUUGGUGACGGUAGGUUGAGAAGAAGCACCGGCUAACUACGUG